RNAcentral lists this ribosomal RNA (2903 nucleotides) under Escherichia coli. Its description in RNAcentral is "23S ribosomal RNA". It matches the Rfam family "Bacterial large subunit ribosomal RNA". Lineage: Bacteria; Pseudomonadati; Pseudomonadota; Gammaproteobacteria; Enterobacterales; Enterobacteriaceae. The record is from RNAcentral.
GGUUAAGCGACUAAGCGUACACGGUGGAUGCCCUGGCAGUCAGAGGCGAUGAAGGACGUGCUAAUCUGCGAUAAGCGUCGGUAAGGUGAUAUGAACCGUUAUAACCGGCGAUUUCCGAAUGGGGAAACCCAGUGUGAUUCGUCACACUAUCAUUAACUGAAUCCAUAGGUUAAUGAGGCGAACCGGGGGAACUGAAACAUCUAAGUACCCCGAGGAAAAGAAAUCAACCGAGAUUCCCCCAGUAGCGGCGAGCGAACGGGGAGCAGCCCAGAGCCUGAAUCAGUGUGUGUGUUAGUGGAAGCGUCUGGAAAGGCGCGCGAUACAGGGUGACAGCCCCGUACACAAAAAUGCACAUGCUGUGAGCUCGAUGAGUAGGGCGGGACACGUGGUAUCCUGUCUGAAUAUGGGGGGACCAUCCUCCAAGGCUAAAUACUCCUGACUGACCGAUAGUGAACCAGUACCGUGAGGGAAAGGCGAAAAGAACCCCGGCGAGGGGAGUGAAAAAGAACCUGAAACCGUGUACGUACAAGCAGUGGGAGCCUCUUAAUGGGGUGACUGCGUACCUUUUGUAUAAUGGGUCAGCGACUUAUAUUCUGUAGCAAGGUUAACCGAAUAGGGGAGCCGAAGGGAAACCGAGUCUUAACUGGGCGUUAAGUUGCAGGGUAUAGACCCGAAACCCGGUGAUCUAGCCAUGGGCAGGUUGAAGGUUGGGUAACACUAACUGGAGGACCGAACCGACUAAUGUUGAAAAAUUAGCGGAUGACUUGUGGCUGGGGGUGAAAGGCCAAUCAAACCGGGAGAUAGCUGGUUCUCCCCGAAAGCUAUUUAGGUAGCGCCUCGUGAAUUCAUCUCCGGGGGUAGAGCACUGUUUCGGCAAGGGGGUCAUCCCGACUUACCAACCCGAUGCAAACUGCGAAUACCGGAGAAUGUUAUCACGGGAGACACACGGCGGGUGCUAACGUCCGUCGUGAAGAGGGAAACAACCCAGACCGCCAGCUAAGGUCCCAAAGUCAUGGUUAAGUGGGAAACGAUGUGGGAAGGCCCAGACAGCCAGGAUGUUGGCUUAGAAGCAGCCAUCAUUUAAAGAAAGCGUAAUAGCUCACUGGUCGAGUCGGCCUGCGCGGAAGAUGUAACGGGGCUAAACCAUGCACCGAAGCUGCGGCAGCGACACUGUGUGUUGUUGGGUAGGGGAGCGUUCUGUAAGCCUGUGAAGGUGUGCUGUGAGGCAUGCUGGAGGUAUCAGAAGUGCGAAUGCUGACAUAAGUAACGAUAAAGCGGGUGAAAAGGCCCGCUCGCCGGAAGACCAAGGGUUCCUGUCCAACGUUAAUCGGGGCAGGGUGAGUCGACCCCUAAGGCGAGGCCGAAAGGCGUAGUCGAUGGGAAACAGGUUAAUAUUCCUGUACUUGGUGUUACUGCGAAGGGGGACGGAGAAGGCUAUGUUGGCCGGGCGACGGUUGUCCCGGUUUAAGCGUGUAGGCUGGUUUUCCAGGCAAAUCCGGAAAACUAAGGCUGAGGCGUGAUGACGAGGCACUACGGUGCUGAAGCAACAAAUGCCCUGCUUCCAGGAAAAGCCUCUAAGCAUCAGGUAACAUUAAAUCGUAUCCCAAACCGACACAGGUGGUCAGGUAGAGAAUACCAAGGCGCUUGAGAGAACUCGGGUGAAGGAACUAGGCAAAAUGGUGCCGUAACUUCGGGAGAAGGCACGCUGAUAUGUAGGUGAAGUCCCUCGCGGAUGGAGCUGAAAUCAGUCGAAGAUACCAGCUGGCUGCAACUGUUUAUUAAAAACACAGCACUGUGCAAACACGAAAGUGGACGUAUACGGUGUGACGCCUGCCCGGUGCCGGAAGGUUAAUUGAUGGGGUUAGCGGUAACGCGAAGCUCUUGAUCGAAGCCCCGGUAAACGGCGGCCGUAACUAUAACGGUCCUAAGGUAGCGAAAUUCCUUGUCGGGUAAGUUCCGACCUGCACGAAUGGCGUAAUGAUGGCCAGGCUGUCCUCCACCCGAGACUCAGUGAAUUGAACUCGCUGUGAAGAUGCAGUGUACCCGCGGCAAGACGGAAAGACCCCGUGAACCUUUACUAUAGCUUGACACUGAACAUUGAGCCUUGAUGUGUAGGAUAGGUGGGAGGCUUUGAAGUGUGGACGCCAGUCUGCAUGGAGCCGGCCUUGAAAUACCACCCUUUAAUGUUUGAUGUUCUAACGUUGGCCCCUGAUCGGGGUUGCGGACAGUGUCUGGUGGGUAGUUUGACUGGGGCGGUCUCCUCCUAAAGAGUAACGGAGGAGCACGAAGGUUGGCUAAUCUGGUCGGACAUCAGGAGGUUAGUGCAAUGGCAUAAGCCAGCUUGACUGCGAGCGUGACGGCGCGAGCAGGUGCGAAAGCAGGUCAUAGUGAUCCGGUGGUUCUGAAUGGAAGGGCCAUCGCUCAACGGAUAAAAGGUACUCCGGGGAUAACAGGCUGAUACCGCCCAAGAGUUCAUAUCGACGGCGGUGUUUGGCACCUCGAUGUCGGCUCAUCACAUCCUGGGGCUGAAGUAGGUCCCAAGGGUAUGGCUGUUCGCCAUUUAAAGUGGUACGCGAGCUGGGUUUAGAACGUCGUGAGACAGUUCGGUCCCUAUCUGCCGUGGGCGCUGGAGAACUGAGGGGGGCUGCUCCUAGUACGAGAGGACCGGAGUGGACGCAUCACUGGUGUUCGGGUUGUCAUGCCAAUGGCACUGCCCGGUAGCUAAAUGCGGAAGAGAUAAGUGCUGAAAGCAUCUAAGCACGAAACUUGCCCCGAGAUGAGUUCUCCCUGACUCCUUGAGAGUCCUGAAGGAACGUUGAAGACGACGACGUUGAUAGGCCGGGUGUGUAAGCGCAGCGAUGCGUUGAGCUAACCGGUACUAAUGAACCGUGAGGCUUAACCUU